AUGGAGGACGUUGAUGGAGUAGCGACACAAGAAAGGGUUAAGAAGAUCAAUGCAUCAGAGUGGUCAUGGCGCAAGAGACUUUACAAACAGUGCAACAUAGCCCCAGAUGUGAUGGACCAAGAGGAUCGUGACAUAUGCGAGUUCUGCGCUGUAAUAUCUGCAGCCAUUAUGGAGCUGAAACGAGCCACUGCGAACGUGACGCCUGGAGCAGAAUGCUGUUAUAAGCUUGAUAUGGAGUCACUAAUCCGGACGUACCUUGAGCUGAAUGGAAUGGAUCCACUUGCCGAGAAGGAGGUGGUGGAGGCAAUGGAGAAGCAUAUCCUUACGAACGGGACUGACAUCUAUGGAAGGCAUGAUGGUGUCUGCUGGUGUUUCAAAAAUGUUGGGGUGAAAGCAACCUUGAACGGCAACAAGCUUCCGUUUAAGCUGGGGAUUGAUGAUUAUAAGUUUUCUUUUGAGCUGAGUGCUAAGGAGGUCUGGAAGCGUGUCGAAUCGGGAAGAGCUGUUUUGGCGACGGUGUUUGCGGGAGAAGAGUUCGAUGAGCUUCAGGCAGACGAGAUAUAUGCCUGGUUUCCAAAGUAUGAUUGCGAAAAGAAGGAUUGGGUGAAAAAACCUCAGCCCCACCGAGUAGUGCUGAUAGGCAAUGGGGACGCAGGUUCAGACCUGCUGUACCAGUACCAUCCAUUCUGUAAUUCCCAUGGCACAGACUUUGCAGAUGGAGGUGAUGGCUCUGUUUUCCACAGGGUGCUCAGGGGAUUUGGUCAGAUUGACAUAAAGGCGCAUCCGAACCGGCUAAUGGUUCCUCUGUCCCAGAUAAGUGAGCGCCCCCGUUUAAGACAGCGCCGUCCAGAUGUUGCCCCAACUCCCCCGCCUCCCCCACCUCCCCCUCCGUCCAACUUGACACGGUGGCGUGCUGAUGGCCCUGGCCUCACUCCACCAUGCCAGCCGUGGCAGUCUAUGAGAGGUGAUGGCCCUCACCGGGCUUCUCCAAGCGACCGCGUCAACAUCGACAAGGAGACUCCACCGAGCCAGCUGUGUCAGCCUAUGGGACGUGAUGACCCUCGCUGGGCUUCUCCAAGUGACCGCGUCAACACCAACAAGGUGACUCCAUCACGUGAGCCAUGGCGGCCUACGAGAGUUGAUGACUCUCGCUGGGCUUCUCCAAGCGACCGCGUCAACAUCGACAAAGUGGCUCCAUCACGCGAGCCAUGGCUGCCUAAGAGACGUGAUGAUCCACACCGGGCUUCUCCUCCGCGUGACCGCCCCAACAUCGACAAGGCAAGGUGGAAGGACUAG
RNAcentral lists this ribosomal RNA (1296 nucleotides) under Triticum aestivum (bread wheat). RNAcentral describes it as "partial small subunit ribosomal RNA". The record is from RNAcentral. Lineage: Eukaryota; Viridiplantae; Streptophyta; Magnoliopsida; Poales; Poaceae.